Long non-coding RNA from Oncorhynchus tshawytscha (Chinook salmon), 1288 nucleotides. NCBI's taxonomy places the organism in Eukaryota, Metazoa, Chordata, Actinopteri, Salmoniformes, Salmonidae. The record is from Ensembl.
CACACACACACACACACACACACACACACACACACACACACACACACACACACACACACAUACACACACACACAGACACACGGAUAUACACACAUACACACACACACACACACACAGACGUACGUAUAUACACACACACAGAUGUACGGAUAUACACACACACACACACAGACGUACGGAUAUACACACACACACAGACGUUGGGAUAUACACACACACACAGACGUACGGAUAUACACACACACACACAGAAGUACGGAUAUACACACACACACAGACGUACGGAUAUACACACACACACACAGACGUUGGGAUAUACACACACACACAGACGUACGGAUACACACACACACUCACAGACGUUGGGAUAUGCACACACACACAGACACACACACAGACAGACGGAUAUACACACACACACACACAGAAGUACGGAUAUACACACACACACACAGACGUACGGAUAUACACACACACACACACACACACAGACACGUACGGAUAUACACACACACACACAGACGUACGGAUAUACACACACACAGAUACGUUGGGAUAUACACACACACACACACAGAAGUACGGAUAUACACACACACACAGACGUACGGAUAUACACACACACACACACAGAAGUACGGAUAUACACACACACACAGACGUACGGAUAUACACACACACACACAGACGUAUGGAUACACACACACACAGACGUUGGGAUAUGCACACACACACACAGACGUAUGGAUACACACACACACAGACGUUGGGAUAUGCACACACACACAGACAUACGGAUAUGCACACACACACAGACAUACGGAUAUACACACACACACAGACGUACGGAUAUACACACACACACACAGAAGUACGGAUAUACACACACACACACAGACGUACGGAUAUACACACACACACACACACAGACGUUGGGAUACACACACACACACAGACGUACGGAUAUACACACACGCACAGACGUACGGAUAUACACACACACACACAGACGUACGGAUAUACACACACACACAGACGUACGGAUAUACACACACACACACACAUAAACAGACACACACACACCUCCGUUUGACCUCCAGUCGACAGGCCAUGUCACAGGCUGUCGUCUUGUCUUCAUCUCUGUUGCUCUCAUCUUCUCCUCUAACGCAUCCUCUUCUCCCAUUAACACAUUCUCCUUCUUCCAUCACUGCUAUAUCUGACUCAAAAACCGUGCGCGUGUGUGUGAUUGAUCAUCUCCAGUCGGGCUGUGAUCAGUAAUCAGAGGCAG